This 1509-nucleotide long non-coding RNA is filed under the name Helianthus annuus (common sunflower). RNAcentral's name for it is "hypothetical non coding rna". The record is from RNAcentral. Lineage: Eukaryota; Viridiplantae; Streptophyta; Magnoliopsida; Asterales; Asteraceae.
GAGCCAGCUGUAUUCAUUUCGGUUUGCAAUCCUAGAUUUACUUAAAAUGAACCGGUUCUUGGUUUGGUUAAUUCUGUAAUGGUUAAUAACAACUUUUUCAAACCAAACUUGAAAUCACAUCAUUUAUGGUUUUAGAAUUGGAAAACUCCAAGUUUGUGUUUGGUUCCCACUCCAAGUUGGAACCGAUCAGAUCUGUUUAUGAGUCAUAACUGAAUUUGGUCUGGUUUGUGUCCUGUUAUAAUCUUGUGAUUUUAAUUAAUCCUCACUAUGUUAGUGAUUAGUAUUUUCCUUUUGAUCUCAACUCGCAGAUCCGGUGGGGUUUGCCACCCCUAGCCAAUUUCUUUCAACCAGUGCAUAUCAUGAAUGCAUCUUAAGACAGAUUAGACUAUUGAAGGCGAGAUACCACAACGAACUACUGAAAAUGCACUACCAUGUCAGGGUGUUGCGCAUUCGGGUCCAACUCAAUCAUACCAUAUUCCAUACCAUUUAUCAACACAUAAUUCCUUCUUUUAUUAAGGUGUAAUUAUCCUUUGCAGGCAACAAAUAUGUUGGAAUAUUAAACUUAAUUUAGUUAUUUUAUUAUGUAUUAAGUGUAAUUAGGAUAGUUAAAGUUAUUAUUAUGUAUGUAUGAAACGAUAUAGAUGAACGGUUGUGUCGGUUGGUUGAAAAUGUUUCACUUGACGGUUAUUCCCGCCAAAAAACCAAACCUUCACAUAACCGUUUUAAGUCUGAUGUAUAAAUACACAUUGCCGGCAAUCUUUGCCGGGUAACAAGAAGAUAUUCAUAAUAUCAUUCCAAUUCUGUUUUGUCUAUUUCUCUGUACAACACACACACAAACAGGAAUAUGACAACGAUGACGAUAACGGCUUCCGCUAACAUAGAUGAUGAUGUUUCGGAUAUGAUGAUGACGACUUCCGCUGUCCGGAUGUCCAACAUAGUGGUAUCAGAGCCACGGUGGGAAAUCGAUGAAGAUCGAUCGAUGGUAUAUGAUUCCGGGCACAUCCGGAUGAAGAACAAAAACAGGGGAUAUGGAGACGGACAAGAAUCCAAUCCCGAUCGCACGAUUUCGCGAUCACGAAUGUUCGCAAGAAUGAAGCGAAAUAUCCUAAUGAAAUUAGAAAUCGAAAUCGAGUUACUGGAACUAGAUACGGAAGAAAGACGGGAAGAUCACGGUAACGAAGGUAUGAAACAACAGGAGAUGUUUAAUGUUCAUAAGAACAGAGAAAAGGAACGAGAACCGGAAUGGUUGGAAAUCGCAGAAUUACACGUUCCCGGGAAGAGACGGAUGAUAAAGAGGAACGAACGACGAAGGAAGGAUCUUACGAAGAAGCGAUGUUACUAUUGUCAUGAUAUGGGACACUUAAUUGCCUUCUGCAAAUUAAAAGAACAUGACAAGGCAACCGGAAUUCAGCGAACGAGGGCAGAGUACGACGUCACCGGCACAGAACAUGGAUUAUGGGCAGAUAUAUGGAAUGAAUGUUGUCACCGGAUUAAUAAGAGUAGAGGAGU